GACAGAGGGUGCAAACGUUGCUCGGAAUCACUGGGCGUAAAGGGUGCGUAGGCGGCGCGGUAAGUCGGGUGUGAAAUUUCGAGGCUUAACUUCGAAACUGCAUUCGAUACUGCCGUGCUUGAGGACUGGAGAGGAGACUGGAAUUUACGGUGUAGCGGUGAAAUGCGUAGAUAUCGUAAGGAAGACCAGUGGCGAAGGCGGGUCUCUGGACAGUUCCUGACGCUGAGGCACGAAGGCCAGGGGAGCAAACGGG
This 253-nucleotide ribosomal RNA is filed under the name uncultured bacterium. RNAcentral describes it as "partial 16S ribosomal RNA". It matches the Rfam family "Bacterial small subunit ribosomal RNA", at positions 524 to 776 of the family's 1533-position model. The record is from RNAcentral.